RNAcentral lists this long non-coding RNA (615 nucleotides) under Medicago truncatula (barrel medic). RNAcentral describes it as "lncRNA gene24942". Lineage: Eukaryota; Viridiplantae; Streptophyta; Magnoliopsida; Fabales; Fabaceae. The record is from RNAcentral.
UGGAAAUUGUAAUGUUAUUGAGGAGUUAAAUUUUAUGAAAAUCACCUUGAUUUCCAAAUAUGCUGUACAGGUGUUGUUGUAUUCUUUGUAGAAGAAUCUUCAGCACUUGUUACCACAGAUUUAGAGAUUUCUUCUGCUUCGCAUGCAGGGUAAUUCAAAAUAAAAGAGGAUAGGAAUGGAUCAGCAGACGCAUUGGUUACUGUGUUACUGUGCGACCGGUAUCCACCACCACCAUUAAGAAGCACCUGUAAAUGAGCUUCACGGAGAUCUCGACCUAAAAGAGACAACGUCUGACUGUUCGGAAUAGCAACUCUUCUUAACCUGCGCCUUCUCUGAUAUCUUAAACAGGUGUCCGUGUUGCAGCGUUAUGUGGCUCAACAUGUCGCGUGCAACUUUAACUGAGCAUACAGGACAAAUCUGCAUGAUUAAAAAAAAACGUCUGAGACUAUAUACUAUGUAUUUGAACAAUUGAUUCCUCGCAUAUGAAAGGAAUAUUUUAACCACAUAGUUAAUUAGGUCAUUUAUCAUCCCAAAAGAAAGAAGGUACUAUGUACCGGAUCAAUGAAUUAUAUAAAUGCAAGACUACUUACAAGCAAUACUAACAAGGUAUCAAUC